AACGAACGCUGGCGGCAUGCCUAACACAUGCAAGUCGAACGGGCUGUAGCAAUACAGCCAGUGGCGAACGGGUGAAUAACGCGUGGGAACCUGCCUCGGAGUUCGGAAUAACCGCGGGAAACUGCGGCUAAUACCGGAUACGGCCUGAGGGCGAAAGGAGCAAUCCGCUCCGGGAGGGGCCCGCGUCCGAUUAGCUAGUUGGUGGGGUAACGGCCUACCAAGGCGAUGAUCGGUAGCUGGUCNGAGAGGAUGAUCAGCCACACUGGAACUGCGACACGGUCCAGACUCCUACGGGAGGCAGCAGUGGGGAAUAUUGGACAAUGGGGGAAACCCUGAUCCAGCAAUGCCGCGUGGGUGAUGAAGGCCUUGGUUG
This 373-nucleotide ribosomal RNA is filed under the name uncultured bacterium. Its description in RNAcentral is "bacterial SSU rRNA". It matches the Rfam family "Bacterial small subunit ribosomal RNA", at positions 29 to 425 of the family's 1533-position model. The record is from RNAcentral.